RNAcentral lists this ribosomal RNA (440 nucleotides) under uncultured bacterium. RNAcentral describes it as "partial 16S ribosomal RNA". It matches the Rfam family "Bacterial small subunit ribosomal RNA", at positions 338 to 795 of the family's 1533-position model. The record is from RNAcentral.
CCUACGGGAGGCAGCAGUGGGGAAUAUUGCACAAUGGGGGAAACCCUGAUGCAGCGACGCCGCGUGAGUGAAGAAGUAUUUCGGUAUGUAAAGCUCUAUCAGCAGGGAAGAUAAUGACGGUACCUGAGCAAGAAGCCCCGGCUAACUACGUGCCAGCAGCCGCGGUAACACGUAAGGGGCAAGCGUUAUCCGGAUUUACUGGGUAUAAAGGGAGCGUAGACGGCAUGGCAAGUCUGAAGUGAAAGCCCGGGGCUCAACCGCGGGACUGCUGUGGAAACUGGUAAGCUGGAGUGCAGGAGAGGUAAGUGGAAUUCGUAGUGUAGCGGUGAAAUGCGUAGAUAUUGGGAGGAACACCAGUGGCGAAGGCGGCUUACUGGACUGUAACUGACGUUGAGGCUCGAAAGCGUGGGGAGCAAACAGGAUUAGAUACCCCUGUAGUC